Molecule: ribosomal RNA, 1242 nt
Filed under: metagenome
Description: bacterial LSU rRNA
Rfam family: Bacterial large subunit ribosomal RNA
Source: RNAcentral
UGAAUACGAGAUGCUACGGCGUCGAAGCAGUCUAUGUCAUACUUCCAAGAAAAGCUUGCACUGUCAUAAACAAAUAAUGCCUGUACCAUAACCGACACAGGUGGGUAGGUAGAGUAUACUAAGGGGCGCGAGAUAACUCUCUCUAAGGAACUUGGCAAAAUGACUCCGUAACUUCGGGAGAAGGAGUGCCUUAUUUAUAAGGUUGCAAUAACAAGAUCCAAGCAACUGUUUACCAAAAACACAGGUCUCCGCUAAGUCGUAAGACGAUGUAUGGGGGCUGACGCCUGCCCAGUGCCAGAAGGUUAAAGAAGUUGGUUAGCAUCCGCGAAGCUGAUAACUGAAGCCCUGGUGAACGGCGGCCGUAACAAUAACGGUCCUAAGGUAGCGAAAUUCCUUGCCGGGUAAGUUCCGACCCGCACGAAAGGCGUAAUGAUUUGGAUACUGUCUCGGAGAGGGGCUCGGUGAAAUAGACUUGUCUGUGAAGAUGCGGACUACCUGCACCAGGACAGAAAGACCCUAUGAAGCUUUACUGUAACCUGAAAUUGAAAUUGGACUUUACUUGCGCAGUAUAGGUGGGAGGCGUUGAGAAUAUUCUUGCGGGAUUAUUGGAGCCAUCAGUGAGAUACCACUCUUGUAAUGUUAGAUUUCUAACUUUGUAUCAUUAUCUGGUCAAAGAACAGUUUCAGGCGGGCAGUUUGACUGGGGCGGUCGCCUCCUAAACGGUAACGGAGGCGCACAAAGGUUUCCUCUGAACGGGUAGAAAUCGUAUCUAGAGUGUAAAGGCAUAAGGAAGCUUGACUGUGAGACCUACAAGUCGAGCAGGGACGAAAGUCGGUCUUAGUGAUCUGACGGUGCUGAGUGGAAAGGCCGUCACUCAACGGAUAAAAGUUACUCUAAGGAUAACAGGCUGAUCUCCCCCAAGAGUUCACAUCGACGGGGAGGUUUGGCACCUCGAUGUCGGCUCAUCGCGUCCUGGGGCGGUAGUACGUCCCAAGGGUUGGGCUGUUCGCCCAUGAAAGCGGUACGCGAGCUGGGUUCAGAACGUCGUGAGACAGUUCGGUCCAUAUCCGGUGUAGGCGUUAGAAUAUUGAGAGGAGCCUUCUUUAGUACGAGAGGACCGAGAAGGACAUACCUCUGGUGUACCAGUUAUCGUGCCAACGGUAAACGCUGGGUAGCUAUGUGUGGAGUGGAUAACCGCUGAAAGCAUCUAAGUGGGAAGCCCACCUCAAGAUAAGUAUUCCC